RNAcentral lists this ribosomal RNA (89 nucleotides) under Polaromonas sp. RNAcentral's name for it is "partial 23S ribosomal RNA". It matches the Rfam family "Bacterial large subunit ribosomal RNA", at positions 2837 to 2925 of the family's 2925-position model. The record is from RNAcentral. Lineage: Bacteria; Pseudomonadati; Pseudomonadota; Betaproteobacteria; Burkholderiales; Comamonadaceae.
GUUCAAGACCAGGACGUUGAUAGGUCAGGUGUGGAAGCGCAGUAAUGCGUUAAGCUAACUGAUACUAAUUGCUCGUGCGACUUGACCCU